GAGUUCCCUUCAAGCACUUCACGACGCACUAUUUAGAGAGUUGUUGUGAAGUGUUUGGGGGAACUC
Molecule: microRNA precursor, 66 nt
Filed under: Oryza sativa (Asian cultivated rice)
Lineage: Eukaryota; Viridiplantae; Streptophyta; Magnoliopsida; Poales; Poaceae
Description: miR395n stem-loop (osa-MIR395n)
Gene: osa-MIR395n
Rfam family: mir-395 microRNA precursor family
About the family: mir-395 was identified in both Arabidopsis thaliana and Oryza sativa computationally and was later experimentally verified. mir-395 is thought to target mRNAs coding for ATP sulphurylases.
Source: miRBase by way of RNAcentral